AUGCGCCAGCUAAGGCUCGUCACCAACAUGAGGGCUCAUAAUGACACCUGGUUUGCGGAUUACUUGCUAAGGGUAGGGAAUGGCACUGAGGAAGUUGACGAUCAAGGAAACAUACGACUCCCUGAAGAUAUUUGUGUGCCAUCUACAGGCGAGGGUGACGACCUAGAGAAGCUGAUUAACCAUGUGUUUCUGACACUAGAUGACAACAUGUCCGAUCCGAAUUACAUGACUUCACACGCAAUCCUCUCCACCACAAACGACAACGUCGACAAGAUAAACAUACGCAUGGUAGAGCGUUUUCGGGGAGAAGAAGUAAUCUACCAUAGCUUUGACAGUGCAGAAGACGAACCAUAUGGCUACUACGCUCCCGAGUUCCUGAAUGGGUUGACUCCCAACGGUCUGCCUCCGCAUGCACUCAAACUGAAGCUCAAAUGCCCUGUCAUACUUCUGAGGAACAUUGAUCCAGCUAAUGGUCUGUGUAACGGGACGAGGCUUGUGGUCCGAGGUUUCGAGAGGAACGCCAUCGACGCAGAAAUCGUGAUCGGACAACACGCAGGUAGGAGGGUAUUCCUUCCUCGAAUACCCCUAUCCCCGUCUGACAAUGACAUGUUUCCCUUCAAGUUCAAGAGGAAGCAAUUUCCUGUAAGGCUUAGCUUUGCUAUGACGAUUAACAAGGCUCAAGGACAGACGAUUCCGAUUGUUGGCGUGUACCUACCUAAUCCGGUGUUCUCUCAUGGUCAACUCUAUGUCGCGUUGUCUCGAGCCACCGCGAAGAGGAACAUAAAGAUCCUCAUUGAGAAGGAGAAGGAGAAGGAUAAUGGCAAGAAGCAAAGUGGUAAAUCAAAGAAGCGAAAAAGACCUUCCUUGUCCUUACAAACCUCGAUGAAGAACAUCGUCUAUAAGGAAGUCCUUACAGGCUGA
This 921-nucleotide ribosomal RNA is filed under the name Triticum aestivum (bread wheat). Its description in RNAcentral is "partial small subunit ribosomal RNA". The record is from RNAcentral. Lineage: Eukaryota; Viridiplantae; Streptophyta; Magnoliopsida; Poales; Poaceae.